This 392-nucleotide ribosomal RNA is filed under the name uncultured bacterium. Its description in RNAcentral is "partial 16S ribosomal RNA". It matches the Rfam family "Bacterial small subunit ribosomal RNA", at positions 523 to 918 of the family's 1533-position model. The record is from RNAcentral.
AUACGGAGGAUGCGAGCGUUAUCCGGAUUUAUUGGGUUUAAAGGGAGCGUAGGCGGGAGCUUAAGUCAGCGGUUAAAUGGUGCGGCUCAACCGUGCCCUGCCGUUGAAACUGGGUUUCUUGAGAGUGCAAGAGGCGGAUGGAAUUCAUGGUGUAGCGGUGAAAUGCUUAGAUAUCAUGAAGAACUCCGAUUGCGAAGGCAGUCCGCUGGGGCACGUCUGACGCUGAUGCUCGAAGGUGCGGGAAUCAAACAGGAUUAGAUACCCUGGUAGUCCGCACGGUAAACGAUGAUUACCCGCUGUCGGCGGCAGACAGUCGGCGGCCAAGCGAAAGCGAUAAGUAAUCCACCUGGGGAGUACGGUCGCAAGGCUGAAACUCAAAUGAAUUGGCGGGG